RNAcentral lists this unclassified non-coding RNA (402 nucleotides) under soil metagenome. Its description in RNAcentral is "partial contains 5.8S ribosomal RNA, internal transcribed spacer 2, and large subunit ribosomal RNA". The stretch from base 1 to 121 matches the Rfam family "5.8S ribosomal RNA", at positions 35 to 154 of the family's 154-position model. The record is from RNAcentral.
GAUGAAGAACGCAGCGAAAUGCGAUAAGUAAUGUGAAUUGCAGAAUUCAGUGAAUCAUCGAAUCUUUGAACGCACCUUGCGCCCUUUGGCUAUUCCGAAGGGCAUGCCUGUUUGAGUAUCAUGAAAACCUCAACUCUCAUGGCUUGCCAUGAUGAGCUUGGACUCUGGGGGUCUUGCUGGCUUUACGGUCAGCUCCUCUCAAAUAAAUCAGCUUGCCGGUGUUUGGUGGGAUCACAGGUGUGAUAACUAUCUACGCUUGUGGUUUUCCGCCAGGUAACCUUCAGCAAUGGAGGUUCGCUGGAGCUCAUAAAUGUCUCUCCUCAGCGAGGACAGAUUUUGACCGUUUGAUCUCAAAUCAGGUAGGACUACCCGCUUAACUUAAGCAUAUCAAUAAGCGGAGGA